CCCAGACUCCUACGGGAGGCAGCAGUAGGGAAUUUUCGUCAAUGGGCGCAAGCCUGAACGAGCGAUGCCGCGUGAGUGAAGAAGGCCUUCGGGUCGUAAAGCUCUGUUGCGGGGGAAAAAAGGCAGCAUCAGGAAAUGGGUGCUGACUGAUGGUGCCCCGCCAGAAAGUCACGGCUAACUACGUGCCAGCAGCCGCGGUAAUACGUAGGAUGCGAGCGUUAUCCGGAUUUAUUGGGUUUAAAGGGUGCGUAGGCGGUUUUUUAAGUUAGUGGUUAAACGUCGGGGCUUCACCUUGAUUUGCCAUUAAUACUGUAAGACUCGAGUUCAGACGAGGUAGGCGGAAUAAGUUAAGUAGCGGUGAAAUGCUUAGAUAUAACUUAGAACUCCGAUAGCGAAGGCAGCUUACCAGACUGCGACUGACGCUGAAGCACGAGGGCGUGGGUAGCGAGCAGGAUUAGAUACCCCGGUAAC
RNAcentral lists this ribosomal RNA (471 nucleotides) under uncultured bacterium. RNAcentral's name for it is "partial 16S ribosomal RNA". It matches the Rfam family "Bacterial small subunit ribosomal RNA", at positions 330 to 794 of the family's 1533-position model. The record is from RNAcentral.